ACGUGUGUUGUUUCCUACGUGUGUUGUUGUCCAGGAGCUGGCAGGUCUCAUUGAGAGGGCUUUAAACUAGGUAAGAAGGGGGAUGGGGCUGAAGCAAGGAUUGUUGGGGCUGUACCAGGGGGAACAAUGGCAAGGCAGGAGGAUGAGGUAAUGGCCCAGCUGAAGUGCAUCUACAGCAAUGCACGCAGCAUGGGUAACAAACAGGAGGAGCUGGAAGCCAUCGUGCAGCGGGCAGGCUAUGACUUGGUUGCCAUCACAGAAACCUGGUGGGACCAGUCUCAUGACUGGAGUGCUGCAAUGCCUGGCUAUAAGCUCUUCAGAAGGGACAGGCAGCACAGAAGGGGUGGCGGUGUGGCUCUCUAUAUUAGAGAGUCUUUCGAUGUUGUAGAACUCGAGGCUAGGAAUGACAAGGUCGAGUCCCUUUGGGUUAGGAUCGGCAGGGACAACAAGGCUAGUGUCCUGGUCGGGGUCUUCUAUAGACCCCCGAACCAGGAUGAGGAGACGGAUGAGGAGUUCUACAGGCAGCUGACAGAAGUUGCGAAAUCUUCAGCGCUUGUACUCGUGGGGGACUUCAACUUCCCUGACAUAUCCUGGAAGCACAACACAGCCCAGAGGAAGCAGUCUAGGAAGUUUCUGGAGAGCGUGGAAGAUAGCUUCCUGACACAGCUGGUUAGUGAACCUACCAGGGGUGGUGCCCCGCUAGACCUUCUCUUCACAAACAGAGAAGGACUGGUGGAGGAUGUGAUUGUUGGGAGCUGUCUUGGGCAGAGUGACCACGAAAUGGUGGAGUUCACUAUUCUUGGCGAAGCCAGGAAGGGGACCAGUAAAACCGCUGUAUUGGACUUUCGGAGGGCUGAUUUUGGGCUGCUCAGGACACUAGUUGGAGUCCCUUGGGAGGCAGUUCUGAAGGGCAGAGGGGUCCAGGAAGGCUGGGCGCUCUUCAAGAGGGAAAUCUUAAUGGCGCAGGAGCGGUCUGUCCCCAUGUGCCCAAAGACGAGCCAGCGGGGAAGAAGACCAGCCUGGCUCAACAGAGAACUGUGGCUUGAUCUUAGGAGAAAAAAGAGGAUUUAUAAUCUUUGGAAAAGUGGGCAGGCCACUAGGGAGGACUAUAAGGAUGUUGCAAGGCUCUGCAGGGACAAAAUUAGGAAGGCUAAAGCUCAUCUGGAGCUCAAUCUGGCUACUGCCAUUAAAGAUAACAAAAAACGUUUUUAUAAAUGCAUCAACA
RNAcentral lists this long non-coding RNA (1225 nucleotides) under Anas platyrhynchos platyrhynchos (common mallard). RNAcentral describes it as "lncRNA (ENSAPLG00000024402.1)". Lineage: Eukaryota; Metazoa; Chordata; Aves; Anseriformes; Anatidae. The record is from RNAcentral.